This 1114-nucleotide long non-coding RNA is filed under the name Homo sapiens (human). RNAcentral describes it as "novel transcript". The record is from RNAcentral. Lineage: Eukaryota; Metazoa; Chordata; Mammalia; Primates; Hominidae.
ACACUUCCUGGUCCUCUCUGGCUGCGUCUGAGGGCCUUAGCUCUGGCCAGGGGCGCUGCAACGGGCUCAGCCUUCUAGGGGUGGCGGGUGAAGGCCUACACCUGCCCCAGGACGGCCAGGUCCACCAGCACCUGCAACAGACGGAGAACUGAAGGAGCAUCUUGAAGCUGUGGCUGUCUUGAAGGUGUCGCCGCUUGUCCUCACGAGCACCAUUUUGAUUCUCGUGCCCUGUGUGCAUGGGUGGCCAGCGUUGCUGGUAGGGCUCCUGCACGCUCAGAGUGGCCUUGGCCAGGAAGUCCAGGGUUUCCGCAGGCAGAGUGUAUGAACAAGAUGCCACAGACAUGUGAGAAAUGGAACUUUUGACAAGAUCUGUGAAAAGAAUGGUAUUUUAUUGUAUUAGGAUUCUCCAGAGGGACAGAACUGAUCGGAUAUAUGUGUAUAUGAAAAGGAGUUUAUUAGGGAGAAUUGGCUCACAUGAUCAUAAGGCAAAGUCCCACAAUAGGCCAUCUGCAAGCUGAGGAAGGAAGAAACCAGUGGUGGCUCAGUCCCAGUCCAAAAGCCUCAAAAGUAGGGAAGCCGACAAUGCAGCCUUCAGUCUGGCCAAAGGCCCAAAAGCCACUGGCAAACCGCUGGUAUAAAUCCAUGUGUUCAAAGGCAGAAGAACCUGGAGUCUGAUGUCCAAGGGUAGAAGGAAUGGAAAGAAGCAUCCAGCAUGUGAAAAAGGAGAAAGCCAGAAGACUCAGCGAGUGAGAUUAUCCCACCUUCUUCCAUCUGCUGUGUUCUGGCCACACUGGCAGACCACUGGAUGGUGUCCACCCACAUGAGGAUGGGUCUUCCUCUUCCAGUCCACUGACUCAAAUGUCAGUCUCCUCUGGCAACACCCUCACAGACCCACCCAGAAACAAUACUUUACCAGCUGUAUAAGCAUCCUUCAAUCCAAUCAAGUUGACACCUGUUAUUAACCAUCACAUUUAUAUAAUGUGUAUAUAACACAUUUAUAUAACAUAAACUGAUUUCCAUUUAUGAAGCAUAUUACGUGCUUACUACAAAAACAUAAAAAAGAAGAGAAUGUAUAAUUGAAUUCCUAUAAAGGGCAUAGAGGUACCGAAAGAAA